Molecule: ribosomal RNA, 460 nt
Filed under: uncultured bacterium
Lineage: Bacteria
Description: partial 16S ribosomal RNA
Rfam family: Bacterial small subunit ribosomal RNA
Source: RNAcentral
CCUACGGGAGGCAGCAGUGAGGAAUAUUGGUCAAUGGGCGCGAGCCUGAACCAGCCAAGUAGCGUGAAGGAUGACUGCCCUAUGGGUUGUAAACUUCUUUUAUAUGGGAAUAAAAUGUUCCACGUGUGCCUUUUUGUAUGUACUUUAUGAAUAAGGAUCGGCUAACUCCGUGCCAGCAGCCGCGGUAAUACGGAGGAUCCGAGCGUUAUCCGGAUUUAUUGGGUUUAAAGGGAGCGUAGAUGGGUUGUUAAGUCAGUUGUGAAAGUUUGCGGCUCAACCGUAAAAUUGCAGUUGAUACUGGCAGUCUUGAGUACAGUUGAGGUGGGCGGAAUUCGUGGUGUAGCGGUGAAAUGCUUAGAUAUCACGAAGAACUCCGAUUGCGAAGGCAGCUCACUGGACUGCCACUGACACUGAGGCUCGAAAGUGUGGGUAUCAAACAGGAUUAGAUACCCUUGUAGUC